This 1561-nucleotide long non-coding RNA is filed under the name Physcomitrium patens. RNAcentral describes it as "long non-coding RNA (PPAT_LNC007025)". Lineage: Eukaryota; Viridiplantae; Streptophyta; Bryopsida; Funariales; Funariaceae. The record is from RNAcentral.
AUACUGUGAACCAUCUAUUAGAAUAGGAGGCAAUUGAAGGUUCUAAAAUACCCAUCUUCACCUUCUCUUUUAGUAGUUCUAUCAACUUUGGAAGUAAAGCUCUGGGCAUAGGUUUAGGCUUUAAAUCCCAUGGAACAUGCGGCACAGUAAAGAUUACCAUAGGUACUACAACAUUAGGAUCCACACAUCCAAUUUCAACAGGAGUUGAGGCAAAUGCCUUACCAUACCUAAUAAGCAUUUCUUGAAAUAUAAUUUUCUCUGUUGAUGUCAAGAAAUCACCCCCUCCAAUCUUCAAUUUAAUUAAUGAUUCUUAAAUAAAUUGAUGCCCAAUUCCACGUCCUUCUCUUAGACUUAGCUCCUUAAUUGCUUGGUUGAUAUGAUCUAUAGUAUCAACUGGUAAUUGAGUAGCUAUAGGCUUUACCUUUCUUGCUACAGCUUUAUAUUUAGUUUGUAUUCUAGCUUCAUGUUUCAAUCCAUAGCUUGUAGCAAGCCCACCAAUUACCACUAUCUUUUCUAAUUCUUCAUAAGUCUUUCUUGAAUAUAUUUCUACUAUAGCAUUUUCAUUUAUGCUUAUAGCUAAAUUUUCAAGAACCUUUAUCAAAUUAUCUUCUAAACCUAUUUCUUCUAUUACUCCAACUAUGGCUUCAUCACUUGAAACUAAAUCCACUCUUUUUAAGUUUUUCUCUUGUUUCUUCACCCUUCUUCUAUGUAUAGAAUCUAAAUCUUUAAUCUUUCAAAUAUUCACAAAUCCAUUAUUAGUCAAGUUUAAAAAUCCAAAAUUCAUAUUAUCUACAAUAGGAUUUGUAGAUGACUUAUUUGCAUCCAUGUGUCCCCUCUAUACAAGGGUUCUUUCUAAAAAUCCACAAAGUUGUUUCCUAGCUCCAAAGGCAUCCCUCUUAAUUGUUCUCUAUGCCUUUCAUGAAUAGGUUUUACAAUAAUAAACUACACAGCUUUCCUUCCAUCUCAACUACGAAUCUUAACAUAAUGUGAACUAUCAUCCAAGACUCUAGUUUCCAUUCUAGUAGCUGUAAUAUAAGAUUGACCAAGUAUUACCGGAUAUGCAGCAGAGUUUUGCACGAAGAAAUUUUGCUCUACUUCCACAUCUCCAAUUCUAGUCCUUACAGCUGGACAAGCUCCGUAUAAAUCACCUUGUUAGUUGUUUGCAGCUCUAAUUACCCAACCAUGAUUGGUAUCAACUGGCCACUUAUUUUUUUCAUAUAUUCGCCUUGACAUGAUAUUGAUUUCUCAUCCAUGAUCAACUAAAGCCAAAAUUGGAUCUUUAGAAUCUCCCAACCUCACAUAUGUCUUCAUAGUAGCUCUAGCCCAAUAAAGAAUUGAAUAGCUACUACUUCCCAUUCCAUCAUUAUCACAUUUAGAACAAGUAUUCACACAUGCUUUUUGUACAUUCUUCUUUAUCCCAAUAAUUUUUAUAGAUGUACAUUUCAUUUGAUGCUUAUCUAUACCUUCUUCAUAUUUAUUUAAAGCCUCAUUCUCUAUAUCAACCUUAAUUCCAGCUUUUGGUAUUGCAAAUUGUGCAAAUACUUACCUUAUCUCUUCUUUC